AUAUGCUUGUCUCAAAGAUUAAGCCAUGCAUGUCUAAGUAUAAACAAGUUUGUACUGUGAAACUGCGAAUGGCUCAUUAAAUCAGUUAUAGUUUAUUUGAUGGUGUCUUGCUACAUGGAUAACUGUGGUAAUUCUAGAGCUAAUACAUGC
This 150-nucleotide ribosomal RNA is filed under the name Licea marginata. RNAcentral describes it as "partial small subunit ribosomal RNA". It matches the Rfam family "Eukaryotic small subunit ribosomal RNA", at positions 26 to 174 of the family's 1831-position model. The record is from RNAcentral. Lineage: Eukaryota; Evosea; Eumycetozoa; Liceales; Liceaceae.